CUGGGAUGUUACAGCGUGGCUGCUCCCUUCUGCUGGAGCACAUUAAGUCUCUUCACGCAGCAGAAUGAAUACGGGGAUAAAGGAGGAGGCUCGGGUCGCAAACAAUGUGGCACCGAUGCAGAGGGAGCGCGGAGCGGAAGGGACGGGGGAGUCUUCUCAAACUUUCGGAUGAGAGUCAGCAUUUUUCGGAGGGAGGGCACAGAUUGCAAGGAUUUCCUCAAGCGUCUGUCUCGGUGGAACGCUCCCCGUCCCCCGUGCAGAGGAGAGCAGCAGGAAGACGAGGACAGAAACCGGCUGAAACUCCCUUGACGGGAAAAACUCUUUUGAGGCUCCACCGGACGCUCAAUACGUUACAGGGAUGUUUCAUCAGCAUCAAUGUCGUCAAUUACUUUUUGAAACUAAAUUUCAAACUGUAGACAGCGGCAUGUUUUAUUUUUGCUCAGCUAUAGAAUGUUGAAGGUUUUGGUGUAUUUUCUUCUUUCUUCUAAUAAUUCCAUACAUGAAAAAGCCCUUAUUUGUCAAUUGAGGUAAAUUGUAUAUUUACUGGCAGGUACUGAGGAGCCGUGCGGUUACUAACACUGCACUGACCUUGGCUCAUGACAAAACAUCUUUAUGUAAGCUCACAUAAGUGUGUUGUUCGCGCAGGUAAAAUGCAAAGAGCAGCUGUGCCCUCUGAGAAGCUACUCAAGCUACUGCUUGAUUCACAUUAUGACCAAUUUGACUGUCUGUAUUUUCCUCUUGCCAACAUUGUAAAGUGUUUAUAAGGCAUCGAUGUGUGCGUGAACAUUGAACAUUAAUGUAAGUUGACAAACACUCUGCUUUCAUUUAGUAUUGGUGAUCAAAUCACAGCUUUAGGAACGGAUGCUUGCUCAGAUGAGCGAACUGCUUCGUCUAAUCACCUUCCAUCUCCUCUGCAAUAGGACACUCCAGUACCUCCGUGUCUCCUCUCGUCUUCUCUCUCUGAAGGUCUGAACGCCGACUCACGCUGUUGAUUGCAGAAGAGAUGCACAUCACGUACCAGACUGAAUGCAAUUUUAAAUGUGUCAUAUUUUUUUUACUUCAAAUGGACAAUUCUGGUCCUUUUAUGCAUAUUUACCUGCAAUUUAGUGUCACAUAUUUUUCACCUCUGCAAUUUGCAUUCAUGUUUGAUAUAAUUGCUUGAAGUUGAUGAUUUGAAUUACUACUAAUGGACCCGCAAAAGGAUCUGUACGGUUAAGGAGGUAAAACACUCACUUAUUCUUAAAUGAACAUUUAAGGCAAAGCAUUUAAUAUGUUGGCAUUCAGAGCCGACAGUUUAUAAACACUUCUGUUAUCGACUUUGAUUGCGUUUAAGGUCAAAGCAGUGCAACUAAAUCCUGAUGUGAGGAUGUGAGGUUCUUAAUGGAACAAUAUGGAUAUUAUUGUGACUUUUCCACAUGUGACCUUUGAAUAUUAUUAUUCCUUCACUUUAAAACCAC
This is a long non-coding RNA of Gasterosteus aculeatus aculeatus (three-spined stickleback), 1457 nucleotides long. NCBI's taxonomy places the organism in Eukaryota, Metazoa, Chordata, Actinopteri, Perciformes, Gasterosteidae. The record is from Ensembl.